Molecule: long non-coding RNA, 4190 nt
Filed under: Homo sapiens (human)
Lineage: Eukaryota; Metazoa; Chordata; Mammalia; Primates; Hominidae
Description: BOLA3 divergent transcript (BOLA3-DT)
Source: RNAcentral
GGCCGUCAGCCUCCCGGCCCCGCCCCGGAGGCCUCCGGUCGCCUGGCUCCGGCCCCACCCCGCCAUCCCCUGGCCCUGGCUGACUCGCCACCCCCGACACUGCAGCGCCUGCCGACCUCGGGGCCCCGCCCUCUGCCUUCGCUCGCGCCGCUCUCCUUCAGUCUCCCCAGGGCCUGUUUCAUGGAUAGGGUCCCCUUGCCCGCGUGAAAGUCUCAUUCCUCCUCAGCUCAGAAACACUCCAAGGUCUCGGCGCCCUAUACUGGCCUUCCCUCAUCCGAAUACCCCUCGUGCUCCUGAUGUACUUUUCCAUUCCCACUCCCUACUCUGGCAGUCUAGCUUCUAAGCUGAGGAGUUUGGCCUUCGCUCCAGGUGCGGGGACUCGUGGAAGGAUUUGAUUCGCGCUUGAGAAAGAUCGCUCCGCUCCUGUAAGGAAGAGAGCGUGUAGGGGCUGCAACCAGAGACACAGUCAGAAGCUCCGAGGCUACCGCGAUGGUCCAGGUGCCACAGGACACAGCCUAACAGAGGCCCAGGUUGGAGCCAUGGACCAUGGAGUCAUGAGAAUGGAAGGGAAGCUGACGCCAUGUGGGAUGGGGUAGAACUGUCCGCAAAUUCGUCCCGCCUCUGGAGUCUUCAGACCAGUCAAGGCCGAAAUUCAACCAAGCCUCUCCUCUCUCUAGCUGUUAUUUGUUUGCAGCACGCGGUCUGGUGGCACCCUGCAGGAUUUACCAGCUUUUUGCCAACAUUCUGGCCUAUGCAAUCAAUACGUCCCUUCAGCGUUGCACUUGGAUGGAUUGGACCUAUAGUUGUUAUAUAUGGAUAUUGUCUAAUUUAUUUAUUACAGUAUUAACUGACUCCUAUGUUCUGGCCUUCAGAAUUUCUCCUUUGGAUCAAUUACUAGCCUGUCUUACAUUUUCUGCUUCAUUCUUUUAAAAUGUUUAGAGAUGAUUUGCUAAGUUUUCUUCAUUGCUGUCAAUGAUGCAAUUUAAACUGUCAAAAAAAUUUUUUCUCAAGCAGGGUAGUAAUGGUGAACCAUUCCCUUGCUAUUCAGACAGCAUGGUUUAGAUGAGGCGCACCUAUCCCCAGCUUUAGGAAUGGAAACAGGACCCAAGUCUGGCUAAUCAGAGACUGGUUUAGGGUCGGCCCCAUGGUCUGAGCCAGACCAAUGAGAAUUGGUAGAGGGACUUCCUUUUGCAACUUCUAUUUUAGAAUCGGGGGUAUAUAUGCAGGCUUGUUACAGAGGUAUAUUGCAUGGUGCUGAGGUUUGGAGUAUGAACGAAUCCGUCCUUCAGGUAAUGAGCAUAGUACCCAAUAGGUAGUUUCAACCCUUGCCCCCUUCCUCCUUCCCCAGUCUUGUAUUCCCCAGUGUCUGUUGUUCCCAGACAUUGAUCUUUUUCCUCUAUGUUGCUAAGCUGGUAGAAAGGCUGGAGUUGCUGGCAACCAUCUUUGCAACCAUGCAGGGAGAACUACUUUGGAAAUGAAGCAAGAUAAAGAAGAAAACAGAUAAAAGGAGACAAAUGUUUGACUUUGUACAGCUGGAAACCAGCAAUGCUGGAAAUGAGCACUGAAGGCAGUUUAAUGGGUUUGUCACUUGUAACCAAGUGACCCAUGGCAAGCUCACAGAUUUGUAUUGGCAGAAUUCCUCCUUUUCUUUAUUUAAAAUGGUACUUUUGGCCAGGCAAGGUGGUUCACACCUGUAAUCCAAAGACUUUGGGAGGCCGAGGCGCACUGAUCACCCAAGGUCAGAAGUUCGAGAACAGCCUGGCCAACAUUGGCGAAACCCCAUCUCUACUAAAAAUACAAACCAUUAGCUGGCUGCGGUGGCCUUUCUACCAGCUUUUUGUCUCAAAAAAAAAAAAAAAAAAGGUACUUUUGCUUAUCUCUAACCUUCCUCUUCCCCAUAAUUUAACAGUUGCCCAUACUAUCUGUUACUCUGAGCUACUCUCUGCCCCAUUCUCCUCCUCUUAUCUUCAGUUCCUCCUAGGCUGUCAGAGCCAUCUGAAAUGAAAACAUUUAGGCCGGGCAUAGUGGUUCAUGCCUGUAAUCCCAGCACUUUGGGAGGCUGAGGCAGGCGGAUCAGCUGAGGUCAGGAGUUCAAGACCACCCUGGUCAACAUGGUGAAACCCCAUCUCUACUAAAAAUACAAAAAUUAUCCAGACAUGGUGGCACAUGCCUCUACUCCCAGCUACUUGGGAGGCUGAGGCAGGAGAAUCGCUUGAACCUAGGAGGCAGGGGUUGCAGUGAGCCGAGAUUGAGCCACUGCACUCUAGCCUGGGCGACAGAGUGAGACUUUGUCUAAAAAACAUAAAUAAAAUAAAAUGAAAUGAAAACAUUUGCUACUUGAAAUCCUUCAGAUUCCCCAUCGCCUACCUACAGGCAAAACUCUCAAGUUCUUUUGUAUGAUUUAACCACUAUCUACCUGUCCAACUGAAAUCUACCCUUCAGUAAUAUUAUACUUGCACCUCCCUUCAUAAGCUAUGCUACAAGUUUGGUUAUGCAGUUGCCCACCUUUUAAGGUUCAAGCCUUGUCUUCUCCAAAGAGCCACCUCUGACUGCCUCACAGUAAGCUUAGGGCCCGCAACUUACCUGUAACUUUUGUUGCACUUAUGGCCUUUUACAACUAUCAAUUUAUGUAUGUGUCUGUUCUCACUGGUUUAUAAGCUCCCUGAGGACAGAGCCUUGCUUGAGUCAUCUGUCAGCAGCCCAAUAUGGGACAAAAAGUGCAUGCAUUGUAAUUACUGAACAGAACUGAUAGAGGCUCAGCAAUUUGCGCUCCAUAGGUCUAAGUUUGAACUUUUCUAGAAAAGGAUUUGCAGGACGAUCUGACGAAUCUUGGGCUUCCAAAUUAGUUCCAACAGUUCUAGUAUUUUUUUUUUUUUUUGACAGAAGCAAAUAAGUAAGUUUUACUUUGUGAUUAAAACAAAAGUGAAAUGCAUUUAGUCCCAGGAAAUGUCAAUCCUUUCUGCAUCUUACUUUUUUUUGCUGUGACCUCGAGAUUCUCUUGUUCUCUUCAGUUGUAUUGGUCCAUGAUCACUCAUAGCUUUCAUACACAUAUAUACAUCUGAAACUCAGAAAAUUCAUUAGGUAGGAACUCUUUGGAUGCAUCUCCUUUUUUAACCUCAUUGGGAUGAUUUUUCGUUGCACCAUCAUUUUAUAGAGCUUCCUAGCACUGCUGAGCAUGCAGAAUUUUUGCAAAUGCAAUCCAGAGAAACAGACUUGCUAUAUACUAGCUAUUUGAACUUGUCUGAGCUUAUGUGGCAUGGUCUAAAGAAUACUGAAAUAUUUCUGGCAUACCUCUUAAUUGCAGUCACUUUCUCCAGGUUGCUUUAUGGAUUAAAUGAGAUAACCUACUAAAGGACUCCAGUAAAAAGCUAAAAAGGUAGCUAGCUUUUGAGGUGUUGUGGCAGACUGGCAUCUAGUGGCCAGCGAUAAAGGUGCAGACUAGUGUCCACACCUAAGUGGGGACAGUGCAGGCUGUAAUGUCCAUACCUAGUGGGGACAUCAAUGGGGUAUUUGUCAGAGAAGCUCCAUGGCAUAGUUUGGACAUUGUUUCUGGCUGUGCAGGUUCAAACCCAGAGUCUGGCUCUCCCAAAGAUUAUCUGAGUUAUUCUAUUAUUUUACAAAGUUUGAAAUAGCCAUUAGAUACCCUUACAAACUUAUCAUUUUUGUGAUUGAUUUUAAGUCUACUGAAAAUGUCAAAAGAAAUCCAAAACUGAUUGCUAGUAACUAGGCCAGGUGUGGUGGCUCACACCUGUAAUCCCAGCACUUUGGGGCCGGGGCAGGCAGAUUGCUUGAGCUCAGGAGUUCGAGACCAGCCUGGGCAACAUGGCAAAACUCCAUAUUUACAAAAAAUACAAAAAAUUAGCCGGACAUGAUGGUGUGUGCCUGUUGUCCCCGCUACUAGAAGGCUCAGAAAGAAGGAUCACUUGAGCCUGGGAGGCGGAGGUUGCAGUGAGCCAAGACUGUGCCACUGCACUCCAACCUGGGCAACAGAGACCCCAGCUCAAAAAAAUAAAAUUAGUGUUAACUUGUACUGUUUAGCCACAUUCAUUAAGUUUUUAAUUUUAACUCUACUAUCGCACAACCAGGAAUGUACAAGAGAUCUGGAGCCUGAUUUGCAUGGCAGGAAGGAGACCACGUAUUUUUGUUUGGGAUGGGUUUUAGCCACUAUCAGAGACAUAGUUUGUUUCUUA